GACCCCCAGCUUGCUGGGGUGAUUAGUGGCGAACGGGUGAGUAACACGUGAGUAACCUGCCCCUGACUCUGGGAUAAGCCCGGGAAACUGGGUCUAAUACUGGAUAUGCACCGUGGACCGCAUGGUCCUUGGUGGAAAGAUUUUUUGGUCAGGGAUGGACUCGCGGCCUAUCAGCUUGUUGGUGAGGUAAUGGCUCACCAAGGCGACGACGGGUAGCCGGCCUGAGAGGGUGACCGGCCACACUGGGACUGAGACACGGCCCAGACUCCUACGGGAGGCAGCAGUGGGGAAUAUUGCACAAUGGGCGAAAGCCUGAUGCAGCGACGCCGCGUGAGGGAUGACGGCCUUCGGGUUGUAAACCUCUUUCAGUAGGGAAGAAGCGAAAGUGACGGUACCUGCAGAAGAAGCGCCGGCUAACUACGUGCCAGCAGCCGCGGUAAUACGUAGGGCGCAAGCGUUAUCCGGAAUUAUUGGGCGUAAAGAGCUCGUAGGCGGUUUGUCGCGUCUGCCGUGAAAGUCCGAGGCUCAACCUCGGAUCUGCGGUGGGUACGGGCAGACUAGAGUGAUGUAGGGGAGACUGGAAUUCCUGGUGUAGCGGUGAAAUGCGCAGAUAUCAGGAGGAACACCGAUGGCGAAGGCAGGUCUCUGGGCAUUAACUGACGCUGAGGAGCGAAAGCAUGGGGAGCGAACAGGAUUAGAUACCCUGGUAGUCCAUGCCGUAAACGUUGGGCACUAGGUGUGGGGGACAUUCCACGUUUUCCGCGCCGUAGCUAACGCAUUAAGUGCCCCGCCUGGGGAGUACGGCCGCAAGGCUAAAACUCAAAGGAAUUGACGGG
This 836-nucleotide ribosomal RNA is filed under the name uncultured bacterium. RNAcentral's name for it is "bacterial SSU rRNA". It matches the Rfam family "Bacterial small subunit ribosomal RNA", at positions 70 to 917 of the family's 1533-position model. The record is from RNAcentral.